RNAcentral lists this ribosomal RNA (474 nucleotides) under uncultured bacterium. RNAcentral describes it as "partial 16S ribosomal RNA". It matches the Rfam family "Bacterial small subunit ribosomal RNA", at positions 28 to 507 of the family's 1533-position model. The record is from RNAcentral.
GAUGAACGCUAGCGGCAGGCCUAACACAUGCAAGUCGAGGGAGGAGCUUUCGGGCUUCGACCGGCGUACGGGUGCGUAACGCGUAUACAAUCUGCCUUUCACAUAGGGAUAGCCCGAAGAAAUUUGGAUUAAUACCUAAUGGUAUAUAGAGGUGGCAUCACCUUUAUAUUAAAGCUGAGGCGGUGAAAGAUGAGUAUGCGUUCUAUUAGCUAGUUGGAGAGGUAACGGCUCCCCAAGGCGACGAUAGAUAGGGGUUCUGAGAGGGAUAUCCCCCACACUGGUACUGAGAUCCGGACCAGACUCCUACGGGAGGCAGCAGUGAGGAAUAUUGGACAAUGGUCGGAAGACUGAUCCAGCCAUGCCGGGUGCAGGAAGACGGCCUUAUGGGUUGUAAACUGCUUUUGCAGGGGAAGAAUAAGGACUACGCGUAGUUUGAUGACGGUACUCUGCGAAUAAGCAUCGGCUAACUCCGUG